UUGGUGCCUUCGGGAACGCUGAGACAGGUGCUGCAUGGCUGUCGUCAGCUCGUGUUGUGAAAUGUUGGGUUAAGUCCCGCAACGAGCGCAACCCUUAUCCUUUGUUGCCAGCGAUUCGGUCGGGAACUCAAAGGAGACUGCCGGUGAUAAACCGGAGGAAGGUGGGGAUGACGUCAAGUCAUCAUGGCCCUUACGAGUAGGGCUACACACGUGCUACAAUGGCGCAUACAAAGAGAAGCGACCUCGCGAGAGCAAGCGGACCUCACAAAGUGCGUCGUAGUCCGGAUCGGAGUCUGCAACUCGACUCCGUGAAGUCGGAAUCGCUAGUAAUCGUGGAUCAGAAUGCCACGGUGAAUACGUUCCCGGGCCUUGUACACACCGCCCGUCACACCAUGGGAGUGGGUUGCAAAAGAAGUAGGUAGCUUAACCUUCGGGAGGGCGC
RNAcentral lists this ribosomal RNA (442 nucleotides) under Pantoea sp. RNAcentral's name for it is "bacterial SSU rRNA". It matches the Rfam family "Bacterial small subunit ribosomal RNA", at positions 1011 to 1453 of the family's 1533-position model. Lineage: Bacteria; Pseudomonadati; Pseudomonadota; Gammaproteobacteria; Enterobacterales; Erwiniaceae. The record is from RNAcentral.